RNAcentral lists this ribosomal RNA (471 nucleotides) under uncultured Gram-positive bacterium. Its description in RNAcentral is "bacterial SSU rRNA". It matches the Rfam family "Bacterial small subunit ribosomal RNA", at positions 28 to 509 of the family's 1533-position model. The record is from RNAcentral.
GACGAACGCNGGCGGCGUGCUUAACACAUGCAAGUCGGACGAGGUCCACNGAGUAGCAAUACAAGGGAAGACCUAGUGGCGAACGGGUGAGUAUCACGUGAGAAACCAACCCCGGUCUCUGGGAUAACAGUUGGAAACGACUGCUAAUACUGGAUGUCGUCGUACCCUCGCAUGGGGGGAUGACGAAAGGGUUACCGGAUCGGGACGGUCUCGCGGCCUAUCAGCUUGUUGGGGAGGUAACGGCUCACCAAGGCUUCGACGGGUAGCUGGUCUGAGAGGAUGAUCAGCCACACUGGGACUGAGACACGGCCCAGACUCCUACGGGAGGCAGCAGUGGGGAAUCUUGCGCAAUGGGCGAAAGCCUGACGCAGCAACGCCGCGUGCGGGAUGAAGGCCUUCGGGUUGUAAACCGCUUUUAACAGGAACGAAAAUGACGGUACCUGUAGAAUAAGGUGCGGCCAANNNNGUGCC